CGGCAGCGGCGACACGGCGGCGGAAGCACCAUGGUUGUUCUGUUCGGACGGAAAAGAGGAAAAGAGGAAAAGAGGUCAGAUUUGGUUAGAAAAAAAAGAAAAGAGGAGAAAGGAGGAAGUUUUGGAGCCUACCUUUCCGGCGAGGCAAAGCUCGGCCUCCACCGCGAUUUCAGCCACGACGGACGACGGCGGAGGCGGCAGUGACACGCGAAGGCGGCGGCGUGCGGCUGACUUCCGGCGAGGAAGAGUGAGAGAGGUGAAGAAAGAACAGAGAGACGAGAGGGAGAGAAGAGGUGACCGAGGGAGUGAGGGGGAGAGCGGAGAGUCCGACGAGGCGGCGCGCCGGAGGCGGCGCCGCACUCGACCGAACAGAGCAGAGAGAGAGAGAGAGCCGGGAGAGAGCCGAGAGAUAGAGAGAGAAUGAGGCUUGUGUGUGUUACUGUUGGCAGUUCAAUUUAUA
Molecule: long non-coding RNA, 460 nt
Filed under: Salvia miltiorrhiza (redroot sage)
Lineage: Eukaryota; Viridiplantae; Streptophyta; Magnoliopsida; Lamiales; Lamiaceae
Description: long non-coding RNA (SMIL_LNC002019)
Source: RNAcentral